AACGAACGCUGGCGGCGCGUUUUAAGCAUGCAAGUCGAACGGCAAGGUGGUAGCAAUACCACUCUAGAGUGGCGAACGGGUGAGUAAGACGUAGGUGAUCUACCCCUGGAUGGGGGAUAGUCCGUGGAAACACGGGGUAAUACCGCAUGAGGCCUUGUGGGUAAAGCCAUGAGGUGAAAGCUCCAAUUGGGGCGUCUGGGGAUGAGCCUGCGGCCCAUUAGGCAGUUGGCGGGGUAACGGCCCACCAAACCGACGAUGGGUAGCCGGCCUGAGAGGGUGUACGGCCACACUGGAACUGAGACACGGUCCAGACUCCUACGGGAGGCAGCAGCUAAGAAUCUUCCGCAAUGGGGGAAACCCUGACGGAGCGACGCCGCGUGGACGAUGAAGGCCGUAAGGUUGUAAAGUCCUUUUGCAGGAGAAGAAUAAGCUGGGGAGUGGAAAGCCCUGGUGAUGACGUUAUCCUGCGAAUAAGCCCCGGCCAAUUACGUGCCAGCAGCCGCGGUAAUACGUAUGGGGCGAGCGUUGUUCGGAGUUAUUGGGCGUAAAGGGCGUGUAGGCGGCACGCGGCGUCUGGUGUGAAAUCGCAGGGCUCAACCCUGCGGGUACACUGGAAACGGGCGUGCUUGAGUCCCGGGGGGGAAGCUGGAAUUCCUGGUGUAGGAGUGAAAUCUGUAGAGAUCAGGAAGAACACCGGUGGCGAAGGCGAGCUUCUAUUCGAGGACUGACGCUGAGGCGCGAAAGCGUGGGGAGCAAACAGGAUUAGAUACCCUGGUAGUCCACGCUGUAAACGAUGUGCACUAGGCGUGGGACACGUCGGUGUUC
Molecule: ribosomal RNA, 825 nt
Filed under: uncultured bacterium
Lineage: Bacteria
Description: bacterial SSU rRNA
Rfam family: Bacterial small subunit ribosomal RNA
Source: RNAcentral